AUUCUAGAGUUUGAUCAUGGCUCAGAUUGAACGCUGGCGGCAGGCCUAACACAUGCAAGUCGAGCGGUAGCACAGAGAGCUUGCUCUCGGGUGACGAGCGGCGGACGGGUGAGUAAUGUCUGGGAAACUGCCUGAUGGAGGGGGAUAACUACUGGAAACGGUAGCUAAUACCGCAUAAUGUCGCAAGACCAAAGUGGGGGACCUUCGGGCCUCAUGCCAUCAGAUGUGCCCAGAUGGGAUUAGCUAGUAGGUGGGGUAACGGCUCACCUAGGCGACGAUCCCUAGCUGGUCUGAGAGGAUGACCAGCCACACUGGAACUGAGACACGGUCCAGACUCCUACGGGAGGCAGCAGUGGGGAAUAUUGCACAAUGGGCGCAAGCCUGAUGCGGCCAUGCCGCGUGUGUGAAGAAGGCCUUCGGGUUGUAAAGCACUUUCAGCGGGGAGGAAGGCGGUGAGGUUAAUAACCUCAUCGAUUGACGUUACCCGCAGAAGAAGCACCGGCUAACUCCGUGCCAGCAGCCGCGGUAAUACGGAGGGUGCAAGCGUUAAUCGGAAUUACUGGGCGUAAAGCGCACGCAGGCGGUCUGUCAAGUCGGAUGUGAAAUCCCCGGGCUCAACCUGGGAACUGCAUUCGAAACUGGCAGGCUAGAGUCUUGUAGAGGGGGGUAGAAUUCCAGGUGUAGCGGUGAAAUGCGUAGAGAUCUGGAGGAAUACCGGUGGCGAAGGCGGCCCCCUGGACAAAGACUGACGCUCAGUGCGAAAGCGUGGGGAGCAAACAGGAUUAGAUACCCUGGUAGUCCACGCCGUAAACGAUGUCGAUUUGGAGGUUGUGCCCUUGAGGCGUGGCUUCCGGAGCUAACGCGUUAAAUCGACCGCCUGGGGAGUACGGCCGCAAGGUUAAAACUCAAAUGAAUUGACGGGGGCCCGCACAAGCGGUGGAGCAUGUGGUUUAAUUCGAUGCAACGCGAAGAACCUUACCUGGUCUUGACAUCCACAGAACUUUCCAGAGAUGGAUUGGUGCCUUCGGGAACUGUGAGACAGGUGCUGCAUGGCUGUCGUCAGCUCGUGUUGUGAAAUGUUGGGUUAAGUCCCGCAACGAGCGCAACCCUUAUCCUUUGUUGCCAGCGGUUAGGCCGGGAACUCAAAGGAGACUGCCAGUGAUAAACUGGAGGAAGGUGGGGAUGACGUCAAGUCAUCAUGGCCCUUACGACCAGGGCUACACACGUGCUACAAUGGCAUAUACAAAGAGAAGCGACCUCGCGAGAGCAAGCGGACCUCAUAAAGUAUGUCGUAGUCCGGAUUGGAGUCUGCAACUCGACUCCAUGAAGUCGGAAUCGCUAGUAAUCGUAGAUCAGAAUGCUACGGUGAAUACGUUCCCGGGCCUUGUACACACCGCCCGUCACACACGGUACCAU
RNAcentral lists this ribosomal RNA (1416 nucleotides) under Klebsiella pneumoniae. Its description in RNAcentral is "bacterial SSU rRNA". It matches the Rfam family "Bacterial small subunit ribosomal RNA". Lineage: Bacteria; Pseudomonadati; Pseudomonadota; Gammaproteobacteria; Enterobacterales; Enterobacteriaceae. The record is from RNAcentral.